CUACGGGCGGCAGCAGUAGGGAAUCUUAGACAAUGGGGGAAACCCUGAUCUAGCCAUGCCGCGUGAGUGAUGAAGGCCCUAGGGUUGUAAAACUCUUUCGCCUGGGAAGAUAAUGACGGUACCAGGUAAAGAAGCCCCGGCUAACUCCGUGCCAGCAGCCGCGGUAAUACGGAGGGGGCUAGCGUUGUUCGGAAUUACUGGGCGUAAAGCGCGCGUAGGCGGACUUUUAAGUCAGGGGUGAAAUCCCGGGGCUCAACCCCGGAACUGCCCUUGAUACUGGGAGUCUUGAGUUCGAGAGAGGUGAGUGGAAUUCCGAGUGUAGAGGUGAAAUUCGUAGAUAUUCGGAGGAACACCAGUGGCGAAGGCGGCUCACUGGCUCGAUACUGACGCUGAGGUGCGAAAGCGUGGGGAGCAAACAGGAUUAGAUACCCGGGUAGUC
This 439-nucleotide ribosomal RNA is filed under the name uncultured bacterium. Its description in RNAcentral is "partial 16S ribosomal RNA". It matches the Rfam family "Bacterial small subunit ribosomal RNA", at positions 339 to 795 of the family's 1533-position model. The record is from RNAcentral.